This 831-nucleotide unclassified non-coding RNA is filed under the name Hevea brasiliensis (rubber tree). Lineage: Eukaryota; Viridiplantae; Streptophyta; Magnoliopsida; Malpighiales; Euphorbiaceae. The record is from RNAcentral.
GUGUUGUGAAGAAGUGCAACACAAUCAAAUUAUCAAAGAACAAUAAUCCAAUCUAUUUAAUAUUAAUUAAAAAACAACCAGAUUGAUUUACAGGUAUAAUCUACACACGUAAUCCCAAAAUUUCAGAUUACGAAGAACCCAGAAUCCAAAAAAGAAAAAGAAGACUAAUUACUAUUAUUUACUCUGUUAAGAUGGAGAGAACAGGGGAGCCUGCAGGGUGACCCUGCAGCAGAGAAGCUCUGCAGAGAGGGCAAUUAGACCGAGCCGAAAGCCACCUAUCAACACACUCGCUAUGGAAAGAAUGGUGGCACUCAGGCAAAACCUUAACCUUAUCACCAUCUUCAAAUACUCCUAGACAUAUACAGCACUCAGCUUCCACUACAACGUUACUAUUGCCGCGGUUGCCCCCACAUAAAGAUGACGAUGAUGACUGGUGCAAAGUUACCGGUAACGACUUAAUUAUUGUGGGGUGGAGGCCCUGGGACCGAAGAGGUGGCGCGUGGAGUGGUGGGUUAUUGGGGAAGUGUUGUUGUCGGUAUCUACAAACGCAGCGAGCGUAGAGGAAUAGGGUGGUGAUGAGGACUAGUAAUGAGAAGAGGAUGAUGAUGAUGAGGAAGAGAGUUUGGCCAUGGAUUACGAAAUCAUUAUCGUUUAGGUCCGCACUGAAGUGCCAGUGGAAUGGUUGGGAGUCUUGAGAGGACAUUCUGAUGAUGGUGGUGGUGGUGGUGCAGAGGAAAAAGAGGUGGUGGGAGUUUUGAGAAUAAACAAGUGGUUUUGGGCUUAAAGGGCAGUUAAAGUGGAAGUUACAUUAUCUAAAUUAUUGUAACAAUA